GGCACAUGUCUGCAGCAGAUGGGACUUGACUCCAGACAUCCUGGACCAGAGGUAGGGACACUACCAUUGCAUCACAAGAGGCCCUCCCUUUAGCCCUCAGGCUAUAAGGAAGAUACCUCCAGCAGACGCAGCACAGCCUACAUUCUUGAGCUUGUGUCUCCAAGGUGGCGUUUAAACUCACAGUCUUCUGACUUCAAAGGUGAGAGCUCUACCCACAGAGUCAUAGCUGUCAGACCAAAAGAUAACCAUUGCUGGUACCCAGUGGUGUUGGCCGCCUCGGUCAGUCUGUGUUUCUGGGGGAAGGGUGUCUGAGAUAUUUCACAGCACCAAAUAUCCAAUGUCUUUGCUUUGUCUUGGGCUUAUCUAUGGAUGCACCAUGAUAGAGUACCUACUGAAGAGGCAUCGGUCUUGGACAACAAGAAGGAUCAUUGCAUGAUAGCUAUAAAUACAACAACAUUGGGUUAAGCAUAAUGACCGGGACUUUAAAGAUAUAUAUAUGUGUUCACGGACUAAAAGCUAAAGGAAAGCUCCCCAUGUCUCCACCUACAGACCGUGCAUGACAUCAGUAGAUAGGUGGAGCCAAUUUAACAUGAGCAUUAACCCCUGCAGAACCAUUAAUUUACACAGCACCAUCCAAAGGACAAGCACUCAGAUUAGGGCAAUAACCCGACACUGCUGUGUCAAUCUAGCUCAUGGACGUAAUUAUCUGGAAUGUAAUUUGAACCUAUAACCAUCAUGAGUCAGCAGUGAGUGUGCUGUGAGCUAAAGCUGACACAGGUUAAUGACGCUGUGGAAUAAAGGUGUU
Molecule: long non-coding RNA, 805 nt
Organism: Rhincodon typus (whale shark)
Lineage: Eukaryota; Metazoa; Chordata; Chondrichthyes; Orectolobiformes; Rhincodontidae
Exons: 3
Source: RefSeq, a predicted model, not a curated record